Oncorhynchus tshawytscha (Chinook salmon) is the source of this 418-nucleotide long non-coding RNA. The record is from Ensembl. NCBI's taxonomy places the organism in Eukaryota, Metazoa, Chordata, Actinopteri, Salmoniformes, Salmonidae.
GGGUGUUUUAUCAUGGGUGCAGGGUGUUUUAUCACGGGUGCAGGGUGUUUUAUCACGGGUGCAGGGUGUUUUAUCACGGGUGCAGGGUGUUUUAUCACGGGUGCAGGGUGUUCUAUCACGGGUGCAGGGUGUUUUAUCACGGGUACAGGGUGUUCUAUCACGGGUGCAGGGUGCAGGGUGUUUUAUCAUGGGUGCAGGGUGUUUUAUCACGGGUGCAGGGUGUUCUAUCAUGGGUGCAGGGUGCAGGGUGUUUUAUCACGGGUACAGGGUGUUCUAUCAUGGGUACAAGGUGUUCUAUCAUGGGUGCAGGGUGUUCUAUCACGGGUACAAGGUGUUCUAUCACGGGUACAAGGUGUUCUAUCACGGGUACAGGGUGUUCUAUCAUGGGUGCAGGGUGUUCUAUCAUGGGUGCAGGGUG